CUUCAUGGAGUACCUGGAAUAUGAGAUAUAUGUGCGAAUUUGUAACGAAGGAUCUGGUUAGAUACAAUUUUCACUGGUUUGAAUCUCUGGCUUUAGUUCGUCUAGUGCUUACCGCAGUGUUCUUAAAGGUUAAAUGGGGCUUUAGCUUUUUCUUCUCUCAAGAUAGGAUUGCCAUUGAUAGAGGUGGUGUUUUUUUGGGCUCAACUAUUGGCAAGUUAAGCUUUUUUGUGGCAUUCAGAAGAGAUAUACUAAAAAUUAAGGAUGAUGCACGUUGGGUGCCACCUGGAUGUCUUUAUUAUUUGUUUGA
Neltuma alba is the source of this 307-nucleotide long non-coding RNA. RefSeq lists it as uncharacterized. The transcript is spliced from 2 exons. The record is from RefSeq and is a predicted model, not a curated record. Lineage: Eukaryota; Viridiplantae; Streptophyta; Magnoliopsida; Fabales; Fabaceae.